CGAGUGGACCGACGAGAAAAAGGUGCUGUGAGUGUCGUUCGUACCGAAAAAUUGUUUAAUCGUAAACAGUGUGCACAGCACCGCGUCUAUCGGACUCGGACUCGAAUCAUUUUCUUUUCGGUCCGAUUGUCGCCAUCAGAAAGCGGAAAACGAAGCACAGAAAGUGUCCCACGAGGACGGGUCUCGAAGCGAGCACAUUCCGGUCGCCAACCCCACUCACUCGUCGAGUAAAAAGCGAAAAGAUCAGGAAAAUCGGACCGUGUUAUUUAUCACUCCGGUCCUGGCAAGCGAAAACGGUGAGCAAGAUCCCUGUCGCAGAAAAAUCAGCUCGACGGACAAGUUCGGAUAAAGACCAGCCGGAGGAAAGUUUGCGUAUCGCUAAGUGAGCCGAAGGCCACCGGGACUGAUCAAUCCGGCAACUGGUCGGAAAAGUUUUGUCAUCUAGAACGGAACACUGAGUUCGGAGAAGCCUUCACGAGAAGGCUUCUUUGGCGUAGCUGAAGUUUCAGCGGAGCAGCUGAUUUUCGUCGUCGUUCUUUUGCGUAACUGGAUUUCCUUAGCAUAGCUGAAGUUUCGUCGAAGUGACCAAUUUCCGGCGACCGUCCAUUGGAUGUCGGAGUGCUAACCUCGGAAUCAGUUCUUCGGUAUUUAGGCCGUUUGCCAAGCCAGCGAAUAAUUUUUGGAGGCGAACACGACUUCCGGGCGAGCAAUCCAGUAGGGUGCAGAGGUGCUAUAAGGGCGUCGAGAGAAGCGAUGAGGGUCGCUACUGAGGGUCGCACGGAAUUGCGUGAGCCACGUAGGCUGCCGAUUGUGGGCAGAGACGAGGGCGGCUUGUAAGUGCAUGCCAUACAUCGACAGCCGAGUCGCGGAGCCGGAUUGCGUGUGGCGAGAGGCUCAGGAAUUGUGGCAUUAGGAAGGUGGCACGGACGUGUGUCUC
Molecule: long non-coding RNA, 937 nt
Organism: Armigeres subalbatus
Lineage: Eukaryota; Metazoa; Arthropoda; Insecta; Diptera; Culicidae
Exons: 4
Source: RefSeq, a predicted model, not a curated record